UCCCUAAUGGCUCAGUUAGUAAAGCAUCUGCCUGCAAUGCAGGAAACUCGGGUUAAAUCCCUGGGUUAGGAA
RNAcentral lists this transfer RNA (72 nucleotides) under Bos taurus (domestic cattle). It matches the Rfam family "tRNA". Rfam says of the family: Transfer RNA (tRNA) molecules are approximately 80 nucleotides in length. Their secondary structure includes four short double-helical elements and three loops (D, anti-codon, and T loops). Lineage: Eukaryota; Metazoa; Chordata; Mammalia; Artiodactyla; Bovidae. The record is from Rfam by way of RNAcentral.